RNAcentral lists this ribosomal RNA (840 nucleotides) under uncultured bacterium. RNAcentral describes it as "bacterial SSU rRNA". It matches the Rfam family "Bacterial small subunit ribosomal RNA", at positions 31 to 916 of the family's 1533-position model. The record is from RNAcentral.
AAACUGCCAUGGUGGUAUGCUGAACACAUGCAGUUGAACGAGAGCCUAGCUCUAGUAGCGGACGGGUGAGUAAUACGUGAGAAUCUACCUUUAGGAGGGGAAUAACAAUUGGAAACGAUUGCUAAUGCCCCAUAUGCUGUAAAGUGAAAUGAUAUUUCGCCUAAAGAUGAGCUCACGCCUGAUUAGCUUGUUGGUAGGGUAAUUGCCUACCAAGGCUACGAUCAGUAGCUGAUUUGAGAGGAUGAUCAGCCACACUGGAACUGAGACACGGUCCAGACUUCUACGGAAGGCAGCAGUGGGGAAUUUUCCGCAAUGGGCGCAAGCCUGACGGAGCAAUACCGCGUGAGGGAUGAAUGCCUAUGGGUUGUAAACCUCUUUUAUUGGGGAAGAAUUUUGACGGUACCCAAUGAAUAAGCAUCGGCUAACUCCGUGCCAGCAGCCGCGGUAAUACGGGGGAUGCAAGCGUUAUCCGGAAUCAUUGGGCGUAAAGAGUCUGUAGGUUGCAUAAUAAGUCUAUUGUUAAAUAUUAGAGCUCAACUUUAAGCAAGCAGUAGAAACUAUUAUGCUAGAGUAUGGUAGAGGUAGAUGGAAUUCCCAGUGUAGCGGUGAAAUGCGUAGAUAUUGGGAAGAACACCAGAGCGAAAGCGAUCUACUGGGCCAUAACUGACACUGAGAGACGAAAGCUAGGGGAGCAAAUGGGAUUAGAUACCCCCAGUAGUCCUAGCCGUAAACGAUGGAUACUAGAUGUUGUGCGUAUCGAUCCGUGCAGUAUCGUAGCUAACGCGUUAAGUAUCCCGCCUGGCAGUACGCUCGCAAGAGUGAAACUCAAUGAUUUGACGG